RNAcentral lists this ribosomal RNA (424 nucleotides) under uncultured bacterium. RNAcentral describes it as "bacterial SSU rRNA". It matches the Rfam family "Bacterial small subunit ribosomal RNA", at positions 30 to 453 of the family's 1533-position model. The record is from RNAcentral.
AUUGAACGCUGGCGGAAUGCUUUACACAUGCGGAAGUCGAACGGUAGAGGGGGGCAACCCCUUGAGAGUGGUGAACGGGUGAGUAAUAUAUCGGAACGUGCCCAGUCGUGGGGAUAACGUAGCGAAAGUUACGCUAAUACCGCAUACGAUCUAAGGAUGAAAGCGGGGGGACUCGCAAGAGCCUCGCGCGAUUGGAGCGGCCGAUAUCAGAUUAGGUAGUUGGUGGGGUAAAGGCUCACCAAGCCAACGAUCUGUAGCUGGUCUGAGAGGACGACCAGCCACACUGGAACUGAGACACGGUCCAGACUCCUACGGGAGGCAGCAGUGGGGAAUUUUGGACAAUGGACGCAAGUCUGAUCCAGCCAUUCCGCGUGCAGGAUGAAGGCCCUCGGGUUGUAAACUGCUUUUGUACGGAACGAAAAGG